CAGUCGCCGCGGUAAUACAGAGGGUGCGAGCGUUAAUCGGAUUUACUGGGCGUAAAGCGUGCGUAGGCGGCUUUUUAAGUCGGAUGUGAAAUCCCUGAGCUUAACUUAGGAAUUGCAUUCGAUACUAGGAAGCUAGAGUAUGGGAGAGGAUGGUAGAAUUCCAGGUGUAGCGGUGAAAUGCGUAGAGAUCUGGAGGAAUACCGAUGGCGAAGGCAGCCAUCUGGCCUAAUACUGACACUGAGGUACGAAAGCAAGGGGAGCAAACAGGAUUAGAUACCCCUGUAGUCCCUGUCUCUUAUAU
Molecule: ribosomal RNA, 301 nt
Filed under: uncultured bacterium
Lineage: Bacteria
Description: partial 16S ribosomal RNA
Rfam family: Bacterial small subunit ribosomal RNA
Source: RNAcentral